RNAcentral lists this long non-coding RNA (614 nucleotides) under Cicer arietinum (chickpea). RNAcentral's name for it is "long non-coding RNA (CARI_LNC000653)". The record is from RNAcentral. Lineage: Eukaryota; Viridiplantae; Streptophyta; Magnoliopsida; Fabales; Fabaceae.
ACAGAAUAUGUUUAACAUGCAUCUAAUAUUAAUCACAUAUACAAAUAUUGCAAGAUAGAAAAUUAAAGGAGUUAAGGGUUAGAGAAGAUUGCACCAAGAAUUUAUACUGGUUCAGUUGUCAACUUGACAACCUACAUCCAGUCCUGAUAAUCCAAUCGGAUUUCAGAUUUUCUUCUCCAAUAGAAAGAAUCAAUUACAGAUUGUCCAGUUUCAUCCCCGAAACCUAUCUAUCUUAAUGAUCUCUUUCCUAUUGAUCACCCUCUGAUCCUUGUAGACACUCAGCAGUCUAACACAGAAUCACAGUGCGACUCUUUCUUGUUGAGCUUUCUCACCCAAGAAAGUAGCCACCAGUUUCUAGCUGGCUUUCUAUCAACCCUUUGAUCCUUGUAGACACUCAGCAGUCUAACACAGAAUCAAAGUACGACUCUUUCUUGUUGAGACCUCAAUGAUCUCUUUCCUAUUGAUCACCCUCUGAUCCUUGUAGAUACUCGGCAAUCUAUCACAGAAUCACAGUGCGACUCUUUCUUGUUGAGCACUCUCAUCCAAGAAAGUAGCCACCAGUUUCUAGCUGGCUUUCUAUCAACCCUUUGAUCCUUGUAGACACUCAGCAGUCU